This 342-nucleotide ribosomal RNA is filed under the name Anaplasma phagocytophilum. RNAcentral describes it as "bacterial SSU rRNA". It matches the Rfam family "Bacterial small subunit ribosomal RNA", at positions 67 to 422 of the family's 1533-position model. The record is from RNAcentral. Lineage: Bacteria; Pseudomonadati; Pseudomonadota; Alphaproteobacteria; Rickettsiales; Anaplasmataceae.
UUAUUCUUUAUAGCUUGCUAUGAUAGAAAUUAGUGGCAGACGGGUGAGUAAUGCAUAGGAAUCUACCUAGUAGUAUGGGAUAGCCACUAGAAAUGGUGGGUAAUACUGUAUAAUCCCUGCGGGGGAAAGAUUUAUCGCUAUUAGAUGAGCCUAUGUUAGAUUAGCUAGUUGGUGGGGUAAAGGCCUACCAAGGCAGUGAUCUAUAGCUGGUCUGAGAGGAUGAUCAGCCACACUGGAACUGAGAUACGGUCCAGACUCCUACGGGAGGCAGCAGUGGGGAAUAUUGGACAAUGGGCGCAAGCCUGAUCCAGCUAUGCCGCGUGAGUGAGGAAGGCCUUAGGG